UCCUCCUUCCCUCGCGCUGCCAUCACAUACUCCGUAUCCUCCCCGUUGGCUCCCUUCCCCCAACCCGACCCGCGUCCUCCUUCUCGCGGAUCGCUCGGACCUGUAGCGUCGCCGCCGUCACCGAUGCACCUCCUUUCCCCUUCUCCCUACCACCUUCGGCUUCAGCAUGGAGCAUUAGCUCCUCUUGCCUCACCGGCCGUCCUGAGCAAGGGCAGGGCGCCUCGUCCUCUCCUUCCCCGAGCGCGGAGGGAGAGAAGAGAUGGCGACGGCUGGAUCUCGGUAAGUGGCCAGCGAGGAGGACGGCUUGGCCCCGCAGCAACGCCAACAAGGCACUUCCGUCUAGCGUCGCCUAUUCUUCCUCCUCUCGCUCCAAUCCUACCGUGGCCACCACCAGUAGUAGCAAGAAGUCCAACUCUUCUGUGGUAUGAACUAUUCCUUGUGUUGUUGUUUGAUGUAUUUUCUUGCAUCCUUGCUAAUUCGGGUUGAUCUGCUAUUGCCCCACACGAGGUUGUCCUCCUCUCUGGUUUUGCUGAUUCCGACGGCGCCGAAUCCACCUACAGGAUAUCUUUGACAUUUGUUGUUAUUGGGGUGUAAAUCCUGGCGAUGAAAAUAUUAUCAAUGUUCUUGUCAAAUUGGGUUGCCAAUGCUGGAAGCUGCUCAUGGGACAUAUAACUUGAAGGUCGUCUCCAGUGCUACUUUUCUUUCUACUGAUUUUCGUUUUAAUCAAGAACGAUAGAGAGUGAUUCCACGCUUGUACUUGACUUCAUGUGCUUCCUUGGACUUGAUAUCUUCUGUUUUUAUUGUGUGGUGGUGGUGCCGUCGAGGUCGGGGAUGGCGCUCAGCGGCUUGGAUGCCGCGUUCGUCCUCCCCAUGCACUUCCCUUCUCCCUCGGCUUCUUUCGCGCCCGAUUCCUCCUCGACCGCCUGGUAUCCAAGGAGCAAAUGAUGUUUCAAUGAUACAAAGGGCUGAUGUUGGUUUUGGUACAUUCAUAGGUUUAUGUACCUCCCUAGCUUCCUUGCCUUGCUGCUCUAGCACCAGCCUCGCCGCUGUUGAGUUGUAUAGAUCAUUAUGAAGUAAAUAAUUUGGGGGAAUUCUCUGCUUCACCUAUAAAGAGAUGGGAUCCAUAUGGCAGGGAUGAAAUCCAACUUCAAUUGGCAUGCAAUAAGAUCAAAUGGCAGGAUUUAAACCUUCUUGAGUUACGCAAUCACAAAUAUCUUGCACCUAGAGAAAGAAACUUGGAUGUUUUGAUCACACAAAGGUGUUUUUUACAAGUAUGUGCUUUCUUUUAAUCUAUGCAUGAGCCAGGUUUAUGUGUUGUGCAGUUUGGACCAUGAGCUUGCGGAUGCUAAACAAAAUCUUAGGUAAGUCUGAAAUAGAAGCAUUCAAGAAGUUCACUAGGCCAGAAUGCUUCGAAGCUGAUCUUGAUGACCCUAACUUCACGUUUACUCAGCAUGCUAAAAUGGCUCGAGUUAUUCAUCUGUAUGGUGUAGGUACCCUCCAACUCCUUUUUGUUUUAAUGAUUUUCACUAACAAAUAAUUCUUACAUAAGACCUUGGAGUAGCAAAGAUGUUCUCAUUUGUCCAACAUAAUUUACAAAAUUUGAUGGAUUAGAAAAAGAUUAAAAUUAAUGGAUGCGGGUAAUACACAAUUUUAUAUGUUGGCAAGUAUGUAUAAUGUACGAGUCUACGCAAGUGUCAGUUCUGUAUUAUUGUCUGUUUUCAAGUAUUUGUCACUCGAGUUUCUGAUAACUGAAGUGGGUGUCUGUAGUUGCAAUGCAGAGCAGAUCGAGUGGUGUAAGGUGGUGUUGUUGUGGGACAUUGCAACUGCUGCCAGAUCGAUUCAAGCUUCAUUUUAAUGUUUUUGUUCAUCUAUGCUUUUGAUUAUAUUUUUACAGAAUAAUGGGGGUUAUACUUAUUCUCGAGGGCCUUGCAGAGAGUAUUCUGAAUUGUAUUCAUUGCUUCCAAGUAGUUGUUUAUAUUUCUUAUGAGUAUUCACCUACAACUUGAUGUCUUACAACACGAGGAGAUUUAUACCUGUUUUCUUAAGCAUUUUCACUAAACUACGCAUAUUGUAUGUUAACAAAUACAACAGCAUUUGCUAUUCAUUCAUGCACAUUAUGUGGCUACCUUUGUACCAAUCUUGUGUAUAGGACAGGGUACAUACGAUUUUCUUGUUCAUGCCUAUAAAAAAAUAUAUGAUGAUGAUGAAUGAGGUAAGUAUCGGGGUUUUCUUCUUGGGUUGUGGGUAGUGGUGUUCUCCAAAAGCUCUUUUCAUCCCAUACAAAGCUUUUAUAAAGGUAAGGUAAAGCUUUUAGAGACUCUUGCUUCUCUCUGGAGCUAUAUUUAUAAACUUUGUCCCAAUUCUUGUCGUUAUAUCAUAAAUCUUGCUUGUGAUUCAGAACAAAUGGUGGAUUAUUAUGUAGCUUUCUAACAUGUGAUGCAGUAACAUAUACUAGAGUUCGAUGUUAAUCUAUCAAAACAGAGGCUAAAAGAGUCCUUUUCUUUUGCUUGAUUUGCAUAUUUUACUUGUGUUGACAGAUAGAUUAUUUUGGUUGCUUAACUCGGUAUGUUUUUGUUCAAACUUCAUGUUACUUGAGCUAACUGUAGAGCAUUAUAUGGCUUAAGUAAAAAAAACUGAUAGAAUUUUUUUACUUGAUGUGUAAGUUCUGUACCAAAUCAUUUAUACAUAAGUCGAGUGCUAAUUGUUAGAGACUUGUUCUGAGUUACACCAACUUGCUUAAUUUCAGGGCAACAUGUGGCUGAGUGGCUCUCAAUUCCUUCCUUUCUCCUGUAGCAUGAUGGGCAGCAUGUGGCUGAGUGGCUCUCAAUUCCUUCAUUUCUCCUAUAGCAUGAUGGUACGUUGAAGAUCAAGCUUGCCAACAACAAGGUUCAUGACGAUUGUUGCAUCAUGUUAGGAAUGGACAAUAAAGCCGCCAUCACCACGAGCUGGUCAAAGUUUCGCAGCUAUGCAAACAUCCACCAAGGAGACAUCUACGCCUUCUGCUUCAAGGUCACUGCAAAUCGGUGCCUUGCUCUCGCCGUGCAUCUGACACGGAUCUUGUGUCUAGGCGAUAGGAUUUACUCUCAGAUGAUCAGAUCGAAGAUACAAGUAGCUAGGGUUUUUCAGCAAGAAAGGGGAUCGGGGAAUGAGAGCCAGAGGUGGGAGAGAGGAUACAUCGCCCUUGCGGCGCCGUCAGGUCUGAUCUAUCGAUGCCCUAGUUCUCCACUCGUUUUGCCUUUAAGUAGUC
This is a long non-coding RNA of Triticum dicoccoides, 3247 nucleotides long. RefSeq lists it as uncharacterized. Lineage: Eukaryota; Viridiplantae; Streptophyta; Magnoliopsida; Poales; Poaceae. The transcript is spliced from 6 exons. The record is from RefSeq and is a predicted model, not a curated record.